CUUUAUCUUUCUGAUUUCUAAGCUAAUAUAUAUAUAUAUAUAUAUAUAUAUAUAUAUAUAUAUAUAUAUAUAUAUAUAUAUAUAUAUAUAUAUAUAUAUAUAUAUAUAUAUAUAUAUGACAAUUUGCUUCACCCUCGAGACUUUUCGAGGGCCGCUUGACAAGUUUCUAUUUUUGCUUUACUUAUAAUAGAAAAGCUUCUUGAGGAAGUAAGUUAACUUUCUUUAAAAAUCUCUUUUAGCUAAAUCAAGAGCCUGUUUGGGCCAAAUUUUUUCACCAAAAAAAUUGAUUUUUGGACCGUUAUUUCACUAUUUCAGUCGUUAUAUUUGACUUCUUCUCUCACAAGUGGACCCUACUUUUCUCCUAACGGUCAAAAAAUCAAUUCUCAAAAUCACUCCUCAGGCUCCCAAGUCUUUGUUCAAUAGCAAUUUCUUAGCCCAAGAAAAAAAUUUUAACUUUUCAAAGCUUUGCCAAAUGGACCUAUACUAUAUUGUCAAUGGUUAUCUCGUUAUUGAACUUUGAUUUUUUUAUUGAUUCUCUUUCAAAUAUAGAUUUUAACAUCUAUUCUAUCCAAAAGUGUUCAUAAUAUAUAAGUUGUUAAAACUGUUCAAUAAUGGUAAAAUUCC
This 624-nucleotide long non-coding RNA is filed under the name Olea europaea subsp. europaea. Lineage: Eukaryota; Viridiplantae; Streptophyta; Magnoliopsida; Lamiales; Oleaceae. The record is from RNAcentral.